UACGUAGGGGGCAAGCGUUAUCCGGAUUUACUGGGUGUAAAGGGAGCGUAGACGGCAGGGCAAGUCUGGAGUGAAAGCCCGGGGCUCAACUCCGGGACUGCUUUUGAAACUGUGUGACUGGAGUGCAGGAGAGGUAAGCGGAAUUCCUGGUGUAGCGGUGAAGUGCGUAGAUAUCAGGAGGAACACCAGUGGCGAAGGCGGCUUUCUGGACUGAAACUGACGCUGAGGCACGAAAGCGUGGGGAGCGAACAGG
Molecule: ribosomal RNA, 253 nt
Filed under: uncultured Lachnospiraceae bacterium
Lineage: Bacteria; Bacillati; Bacillota; Clostridia; Lachnospirales; Lachnospiraceae
Description: partial 16S ribosomal RNA
Rfam family: Bacterial small subunit ribosomal RNA
Source: RNAcentral